This is a long non-coding RNA of Myxocyprinus asiaticus (Chinese sucker), 2105 nucleotides long. RefSeq lists it as uncharacterized. The transcript has 3 exons. Lineage: Eukaryota; Metazoa; Chordata; Actinopteri; Cypriniformes; Catostomidae. The record is from RefSeq and is a predicted model, not a curated record.
CACAAGAAAAACUUAAGGGCCAUGCAGCGCCAUGCUGACGACCUGAAGCAAAGAGAGGAAAACGGAGAGACUGGAGACUGAGAAAGGCGCAAAAUUCCUCUCAUUCCACUCACGCAGUGUUUUCCAAAUUCCUGAAACGACAACAGGGACUUAUCAUGAAAGCAGAGGGUGCCACAAAGGGGAAAUGACAAAACCUUUGCCUCAACAACCAGAGCAGCAUUACAGAAGUUACCAGACAUACCUCAAGAAGAAUCCUUUACUUUAGGCAGUGCAUGGAAAAUCGUAUUUCUGUAACUGGGAUUCAUUUUAAGCAUAAUCUUGGGCUCCCACUUAGUUUGUCUUCUGAAAGGAGUAAAAUAGGCUUGAGUCAUGAAAGAGUUAAACCCUAACAGCAGGGAGUCAGAUGGCUGUUUCAUAAGUUACUGUCUCUGUUAAUGCUCUAUUGUACAGCUGUCCACAGAUUGUACUGCUGAUAUGAACUCUAGAGACAAAUAAACGAAGCCUCUUUUGCACUUUUCUAGUUGUCAGAGUUUUUAACAGCAAUGGGACAGGACUGACCCCACAGACAAAGCUAUUGGGAAACAACAGAAAUGAUUUCCAUUGGGACGAAUGAGUGUUCAGACUCCAGAUCAAUGAAGAAUGAAAGUCAUACACAUUCCGAUCAACGUGAAGAGCAAGUACAUGACAGCACAAUAUAUGACCUGGCAGGGACUGGAGAUUCUUGGAAAAGAAGCGGAACUUUGGAAGAAGCAAUGGAACAUAGUGCUGUCCACUCUUGGCUCGCUAGACCUUGGAAGAACCCCUCAUAUGUUGCUCACACCUGAGGUUUGCCCUGGAGAAAUUAGCCUGAACAGUCACUGUAAAAGAGUUGUGUUUGUCAUGGGUUUUUCUUUUGGACUGAUGUUAAUAAUGAUGGAAAUCCAUUUUUAGGACUACUGCCAUUUGGAAUAAAAGAUAAAAUAAGAUUAAAAAAAGACUGGUAAAGCAGACCCAAAGCUUUUCCUGCCUCAUGCAACUGGAGAAAUGAUGGUGGUUCAAAACAUUUGACUAUAUCUGAGGUUUCUGAAAUAUUUAAGGAUAUUAUAUAAAGAUAAGUUCUGAACCUGUGUUAGGGAAGCUACUUUGAAAUUGUGCUGUAGCUUCCUAAGCUUCUCUUAACUUAAAGGGGUCAUGACAUGAGAAAUAAAAUUUUCCUUGAUCUUUUAACAUAUAAGGGGCCAUUGCACUAUAAAAACAUACUGUAAGUUUCAGAACUCAAAACUUCCUCCUCACUGCAAAAAGAGCAUUUGUUGAAACCAAGCUGCCAAAACAACUCGUUCUUUACUUUCUCCACAUUUUGAUGUCAUACCGUGGUAGACAUUUGCAUCUGACUGCCUCCACAACAACACAUCAGUGCCUACAUUACCUUAUCACGUCCGUAGCCUGCACAGUAGAAGUCAGCAUUGAGAUGACAAGGAAAGAGCAGGUCAGGCAAGAGCAGAGAGCCAAUCAUAACAGUGGGCGUUUACUGUCAAGUCUUAAAGGAGAAGCCGCACCAAAACCAAGCAUUUCUGACAGAGGAUCAGAAUGAGGGUGGAAAAUUUAUAAAUGAACUUUAAAGAACAUAUUAAAAUAAUGAAAUAAAAGGCAUGUCAUGACCCCUUUAAAGUAGCUAAACUACAGACAAGUUACUCUUUAAAAAAGUAUUUCGCCACACUGCAAGCUACUAACAACAAACAGUCUAGCUAACAACAUUUAAGCUAUUAAAGAAUAUAUUUAAUUUUGCAAUCAAAACAAUAUUUAUCUGGCACAAAAACAAUGAAGAUCUCUAUAGGCUGGCAACGUUAGAAAUACAUUCAUAAAAUGUUUUAUAUUUUGUGGUAACACUUUACAAUAAGAUUGUAAUUGUUAACAUUAGUUAACUUCAUUAAGGCGAACUAACAUAGAACAAUAAUUUUACAUCACUUAUUAAUAUUGGUUAAUGUUAUUUUCAGCAUAUGCUAAUGCAUUUUUCAAAUGAAAAGUUGUAUAUGUUAAUAUUAGUUAAUGCAUUAUGAUCUAACAUGAACAAACAAUGAACAAUUGGAUUUUCAUAAAUUAACAUUAACCAAGAUGAAUAUAUGCCG